RNAcentral lists this ribosomal RNA (423 nucleotides) under uncultured bacterium. RNAcentral describes it as "bacterial SSU rRNA". It matches the Rfam family "Bacterial small subunit ribosomal RNA", at positions 358 to 772 of the family's 1533-position model. The record is from RNAcentral.
GGAAUAUUGCGCAAUGGGCGAAAGCCUGACGCAGCGACGCCGCGUGGGUGAUGAAGGCCUUCGGGUCGUAAAGCCCUGUCAAGAGGGACGAAAUCUCGUCGACCUAACCCGUCGGCGAUCUGACGGUACCUCUGAAGGAAGCACCGGCUACCUCCGUGCCAGCAGCCGCGGUAAUACGGAGGGUGCAAGCGUUGUUCGGAAUCACUGGGCGUAAAGCGCGUGUAGGCGGCCUCCUUAGUCUGAUGUGAAAGCCCGGGGCUCAACCCCGGAAGUGCAUUGGAUACUGGGAGGCUGGAGUACCGGAGAGGAGGGUGGAAUUCCUGGUGUAGCGGUGAAAUGCGUAGAUAUCAGGAGGAACACCGGUGGCGAAGGCGGCCCUCUGGACGGAUACUGACGCUGAGACGCGACAGCGUGGGGAGCAAA